GGGAGUGGAUGGGGCCUGGUGGCUCUCGCGGACUUCAAAUCCGCUGGCCCCGAUGGAGCGAUCGGGGUGGUGGGUUCGACUCCCUCCCACUCCCGCCA
Molecule: transfer RNA, 98 nt
Filed under: Chloroflexota bacterium
Lineage: Bacteria; Bacillati; Chloroflexota
Description: Chloroflexi bacterium (groundwater metagenome) tRNA-Sec
Rfam family: Selenocysteine transfer RNA
Source: RNAcentral